CGUGGGUAACCUGCCCAAGAGAUCGGGAUAACACCUGGAAACAGAUGCUAAUACCGGAUAACAACAGAUGAUGCCUAUCAACUGUUUAAAAGAUGGUUCUGCUAUCACUCUUGGAUGGACCUGCGGUGCAUUAGCUAGUUGGUAGGGUAACGGCCUACCAAGGCGAUGAUGCAUAGCCAGUUGAGAGACUGAUCGGCCACAUUGGGACUGAGACACGGCCCAAACUCCUACGGGAGGCAGCAGGU
This 245-nucleotide ribosomal RNA is filed under the name uncultured Lactobacillus sp. RNAcentral describes it as "partial 16S ribosomal RNA". It matches the Rfam family "Bacterial small subunit ribosomal RNA", at positions 116 to 354 of the family's 1533-position model. Lineage: Bacteria; Bacillati; Bacillota; Bacilli; Lactobacillales; Lactobacillaceae. The record is from RNAcentral.